This 348-nucleotide unclassified non-coding RNA is filed under the name soil metagenome. Its description in RNAcentral is "partial contains 5.8S ribosomal RNA, internal transcribed spacer 2, and large subunit ribosomal RNA". The stretch from base 1 to 120 matches the Rfam family "5.8S ribosomal RNA", at positions 35 to 154 of the family's 154-position model. The record is from RNAcentral.
GAUGAAGAACGUAGCGAAAUGCGAUAAGUAGUGUGAAUUGCAGAAUUCAGUGAAUCAUCGAAUCUUUGAACGCACAUUGCGCCCGCUGGUAUUCCGGUGGGCAUGCCUGUUCGAGCGUCAUUUCAACCCUCAAGCCCCCGGGUUUGGUGUUGGGGAUCGGCUCUGCCCUUCUGGGCGGUGCCGCCCCCGAAAUACAUUGGCGGUCUCGCUGCAGCCUCCAUUGCGUAGUAGCUAACACCUCGCAACUGGAACGCGGCGCGGCCAUGCCGUAAAACCCCAACUUCUGAAUGUUGACCUCGGAUCAGGUAGGAAUACCCGCUGAACUUAAGCAUAUCAAUAAGCGGAGGA